AUUGAACGCUGGCGGCAGGCCUAACACAUGCAAGUCGAGCGGAUGAAGGGAGCUUGCUCCUGGAUUCAGCGGCGGACGGGUGAGUAAUGCCUAGGAAUCUGCCUGGUAUUGGGGGAUAACGUCCGGAAACGGGCGCUAAUACCGCAUACGUCCUUAGGUAGAACGUGGGGGAUCUUCGGACCUCACGCUAUUAGAUGAGCCUAGGUCGGAUUAGCUAGUUGGUGGGGUAAAGGCCUACCAAGGCGACGAUCCGUAACUGGUCUGAGAGGAUGAUCAGUCACACUGGAACUGAGACACGGUCCAGACUCCUACGGGAGGCAGCAGUGGGGAAUAUUGGACAAAGGGCGAAAGCCUGAUCCAGCCAUGCCGCGUGUGUGAAGAAGGUCUUCGGAUUGUAAAGCACUUUAAGUUGGGAGGAAGGGCAGUAAGUUAAUACCUUGCUGUUUUGACGUUACCAACAGAAUAAGCACCGGCUAACUUCGUG
This 484-nucleotide ribosomal RNA is filed under the name uncultured bacterium. RNAcentral's name for it is "partial 16S ribosomal RNA". It matches the Rfam family "Bacterial small subunit ribosomal RNA", at positions 30 to 507 of the family's 1533-position model. The record is from RNAcentral.